This 484-nucleotide ribosomal RNA is filed under the name uncultured bacterium. Its description in RNAcentral is "SSU rRNA". It matches the Rfam family "Bacterial small subunit ribosomal RNA", at positions 26 to 523 of the family's 1533-position model. The record is from RNAcentral.
AGGACGAACGCUGGCGGCGUGCCUAACACAUGCAAGUCGAACGAGGUCCAUGGAGUGGCAACACUUCGGAAGACCUAGUGGCGAACGGGUGAGUAACACGUGAGGAACCUACCCCGGAGACCGGGAUAACUCUUCGAAAGGAGAGCUAAUACCGGAUACCCCCAUCGGAUCGCAUGGUCUGAUGAGGAAAUGGAUUCCGCUCCGGGCGGGCCUCGCGGCCCAUCAGCUUGUUGGCGAGGUAACGGCUCACCAAGGCAUCGACGGGUAGCUGGUCUGAGAGGACGAUCAGCCACACUGGGACUGAGACACGGCCCAGACUCCUACGGGAGGCAGCAGUGGGGAAUCUUGCGCAAUGGGCGAAAGCCUGACGCAGCAACGCCGCGUGGGGAUGAAGGCCUUCGGGUUGUAACCGCUUUCAGCAGGGACGAUUGUGACGGUACCUGCAGAAGAAGCCCCGGCCACUACGUGCCAGCAGCCGCGGUAA